This 1502-nucleotide long non-coding RNA is filed under the name Fragaria vesca (wild strawberry). RNAcentral describes it as "long non-coding RNA (FVES_LNC000991)". The record is from RNAcentral. Lineage: Eukaryota; Viridiplantae; Streptophyta; Magnoliopsida; Rosales; Rosaceae.
CCAUUUUCGGUAACUUUCUCUCAGAGAAAUAAAAGCGUCAAAAUUAAUUGACGUCAAAACUCCAACAAAAGGAAGUGUUCAAUCAUGAACCAUAGCAUGCAUAUUAUUUCAAAUAAAAGUCCACUCACAAAUUAGGCCUAAGCCUGAUGUCGAUCUGGGGUCUCGUCUGCUCGAGCCUCCUCACGUCCUGUUUCAAAUAUAAUAUUAAUUCCCAACCAAAAAAUCCAAUAUUUAAUCACAAUAGGCAAAAUUACCCGAGAGCCAUAAUUACGCUCAUCAUUGCCUAACUUCGAUAUUCUUACAUCGGAACGAUCCGAACUUAAAUAUCAUACUCAACAGUCGUAAAUACAACCUCUCUAAAAUACGACUUAAAUCCUACGGCCGGAUUCUACAUUAAUUAACCGCCAAAAAUACUUAACUUCGGAAAUUCACAAACCUAUCCAAAUCUCAUCCAAAAAUUCCAUAAAUCACACAAAUAUACUCCUCUUAAUAUUCCACAUUUAAAACCCUAAAAAUCUCCUAACCGGCGGCGGCGCCGCCGGCGGCUCCGUCGGCAGCGGCGGCCGGCAGCCGUUUUCCGGCGAUCUCCAAAACCUAUGAAAUUUUGACAGAAUAAUCUCCUCAACAUGCUCUACAACUUUCAUGACCAACACAUCACCCAAUUCCAAGCCUAACUAGGCUAAUCGAACGAAAAUAACUUAAAAGCCUAGAAAUUUCAACUCCACAUUUCUCCUUACCUAGCUCAAGAGGGAGGGAGCUGCUUGGAGGGGUUGUUGCACGGGAGGAGGGCUACAAAACCGUACCAAGCUUGCCCGGAUUGGUGGCCGGAGGAGGAAGUUCCGGCGAGAAAACCGAUUCGGCAGUCGGAGCUUUCGGGCGGCGUUUCUCCCUCACGACGGCGCUAGGGAGGCUGUCACCGGUCUAGAAAUGUUGCUGGGAGGGAGACCGACCGAACGGAACCGGUGCGGCGGCGGUUGGUGGCCGGACGGCGGCGGGAGGACGGCCGGAAAACCGAGCAGCGGGAGGCUCGGGGAGAGGAAAAGAAAAGAGGGAAGAAGAGAAAGGGAGGAGGAAAAAGAAAUGGGUUGGGCCUCCACCGGUCCAACCUAUAUCAACCCAAUUCCAAAAAUAAAAACACCCCGAAUAAAAAAUUACCUUUUACUAGCUAAAAUUUAUCAUUUUUACCGUCGUCGAAAUUUCCUCAUACUAAUAAUCCUCCGCACAUAAUCGUCCCCGAAACCCCUCUAGGGACCAAUUUAACUAUUUACUCAAUGAUCGAGACGGUAAAAUUCUUAUUAUAAUCACGCUAGUAAAUAAGGUAAAAAUAUAAGGGUCGGGAUGUGACAUUUACAUUUCCUCGCCUCCAUACUAUAAGAACAUAUGCAAUUUGCUUAUGAAGAUUUUCUUUAAUGAAAGAUGAAAGCAAAAAAAACUCAAAUACAAGAAUGUGUAACAAUCUGAUUUUGAUUGAUCAUAAUUUGGUGUCAAGAAAACAUGCAAAG